GUCAAUAUAGCAUAAGAAAUGUAUUUGUUUUAAGCACAAAAGAUAGUGUUUGACU
Molecule: transfer RNA, 55 nt
Filed under: Nematodirus spathiger
Lineage: Eukaryota; Metazoa; Nematoda; Chromadorea; Rhabditida; Molineidae
Also listed under: 1 other name
Description: tRNA-Leu
Source: RNAcentral